UGAUGGCGACCGGCGCACGGGUGAGUAACACGUAUCCAACCUGCCGAUAACUCGGGGAUAGCCUUUCGAAAGAAAGAUUAAUACCCGAUGGUAUAAUCAGACCGCAUGGUCUUGUUAUUAAAGAAUUUCGGUUAUCGAUGGGGAUGCGUUCCAUUAGGCAGUUGGUGAGGUAACGGCUCACCAAACCUUCGAUGGAUAGGGGUUCUGAGAGGAAGGUCCCCCACAUUGGAACUGAGACACGGUCCAA
RNAcentral lists this ribosomal RNA (247 nucleotides) under uncultured bacterium. Its description in RNAcentral is "partial 16S ribosomal RNA". It matches the Rfam family "Bacterial small subunit ribosomal RNA", at positions 86 to 334 of the family's 1533-position model. The record is from RNAcentral.